Molecule: ribosomal RNA, 482 nt
Filed under: uncultured bacterium
Lineage: Bacteria
Description: partial 16S ribosomal RNA
Rfam family: Bacterial small subunit ribosomal RNA
Source: RNAcentral
AUUGAACGCUGGCGGCAUACCUUACACAUGCAAGUCGAACGGUAACAGGUCUUCGGAUGCUGACGAGUGGCGAACGGGUGAGUAAUACAUCGGAACGUGCCCAGACGUGGGGGAUAACGAGGCGAAAGCUUUGCUAAUACCGCAUACGAUCUAAGGAUGAAAGCAGGGGACCGCAAGGCCUUGUUCGUUUGGAGCGGCCGAUGGCAGAUUAGGUAGUUGGUGGGAUAAAAGCUUACCAAGCCGACGAUCUGUAGCUGGUCUGAGAGGACGACCAGCCACACUGGGACUGAGACACGGCCCAGACUCCUACGGGAGGCAGCAGUGGGGAAUUUUGGACAAUGGGCGAAAGCCUGAUCCAGCAAUGCCGCGUGCAGGAUGAAGGCCUUCGGGUUGUAAACUGCUUUUGUACGGAACGAAAAGGCUCUGGCUAAUACCUGGGGCACAUGACGGUACCGUAAGAAUAAGCACCGGCUAACUACGUG